AGUGGGGAAUUUUGGACAAUGGGCGAAAGCCUGAUCCAGCCAUGCCGCGUGCAGGAUGAAGGCCUUCGGGUUGUAAACUGCUUUUGUACGGAACGAAAAAGCUGUUUCUAAUAAAGAGAGCUCAUGACGGUACCGUAAGAAUAAGCACCGGCUAACUACGUGCCAGCAGCCGCGGCAAUA
This 180-nucleotide ribosomal RNA is filed under the name uncultured bacterium. RNAcentral's name for it is "partial 16S ribosomal RNA". It matches the Rfam family "Bacterial small subunit ribosomal RNA", at positions 353 to 525 of the family's 1533-position model. The record is from RNAcentral.